RNAcentral lists this ribosomal RNA (451 nucleotides) under uncultured bacterium. Its description in RNAcentral is "bacterial SSU rRNA". It matches the Rfam family "Bacterial small subunit ribosomal RNA", at positions 29 to 524 of the family's 1533-position model. The record is from RNAcentral.
AACGAACGCUGGCGGCAGGCCUAACACAUGCAAGUCGAACGCCGUAGCAAUACGUCAGUGGCAGACGGGUGAGUAACGCGUGGGAACGUACCUUUUGGUUCGGAACAACCCAGGGAAACUUGGGCUAAUACCGGAUAAGCCCUUACGGGGAAAGAUUUAUCGCCGAAAGAUCGGCCCGCGUCUGAUUAGCUAGUUGGUGUGGUAACGGCGCACCAAGGCGACGAUCAGUAGCUGGUCUGAGAGGAUGAUCAGCCACAUUGGGACUGAGACACGGCCCAAACUCCUACGGGAGGCAGCAGUGGGGAAUAUUGGACAAUGGGCGCAAGCCUGAUCCAGCCAUGCCGCGUGAGUGAUGAAGGCCCUAGGGUUGUAAAGCUCUUUUACCCGGGAAGAUAAUGACUGUACCGGGAGAAUAAGCCCCGGCUAACUUCGUGCCAGCCGCCGCAGUAAC